Molecule: ribosomal RNA, 254 nt
Filed under: uncultured bacterium
Lineage: Bacteria
Description: partial 16S ribosomal RNA
Rfam family: Bacterial small subunit ribosomal RNA
Source: RNAcentral
CACGAAGGGGGCUAGCGUUGUUCGGAAUCACUGGGCGUAAAGCGCACGCAGGCGGAUCGUUAAGUCAGGGGUGAAAUCCCGAGGCUCAACCUCGGAACUGCCUUUGAUACUGGCGAUCUUUGAGUCCGGGAGAGGUGAGUGGAACUCCGAGUGUAGAGGUGAAAUUCGUAGAUAUUCGGAAGAACACCAGUGGCGAAGGCGGCUCACUGGCCCGGUACUGACGCUCAGGUGCGAAAGCGUGGGGAUCAAACAGG